UGGAAUGUGCCUCUUUGCUGUUUCCACAGCC
Molecule: non-coding RNA, 31 nt
Filed under: Homo sapiens (human)
Lineage: Eukaryota; Metazoa; Chordata; Mammalia; Primates; Hominidae
Source: RNAcentral